CCUACGGGUGGCAGCAGUAGGGAAUCUUUCACAAUGGGCGAAAGCCUGAUGCAGCAACGCCGCGUGCAGGAUGAAGGCCUUCGGGUUGUAAACUGCUUUUAUAAGCGAGAAAUAUGAUGGUAACUUAUGAAUAAGGAUCGUCUAACUACGUGCCAGCAGCCGCGGUCAUACGUAGGAGCCGAGCAUUAUCCGGAGUGACUGGGGGUAAAGAGUUGCGUAGGUGGCAUAAGAAGUAGCUAGUGAAAUCUGGUGGCUCAACCAUUCAGACUAUUAGCUAAACUGUUAAGCUCGAGACCGUUAGGGGUAAGUGGAAUUUCUGGUGUAGGAGUGAAAUGCGUAGAUAUUAGAAGGAACACCGAUAGCGUAGGCAGGUUACUGGGACGGUUCUGACGCUAAGGCACGAAAGCGUAGGGAGCAAACGGGAUUAGAUACCCGAGUAGUC
This 442-nucleotide ribosomal RNA is filed under the name uncultured bacterium. Its description in RNAcentral is "partial 16S ribosomal RNA". It matches the Rfam family "Bacterial small subunit ribosomal RNA", at positions 338 to 795 of the family's 1533-position model. The record is from RNAcentral.